This 292-nucleotide ribosomal RNA is filed under the name uncultured bacterium. Its description in RNAcentral is "partial 16S ribosomal RNA". It matches the Rfam family "Bacterial small subunit ribosomal RNA", at positions 505 to 796 of the family's 1533-position model. The record is from RNAcentral.
GUGUCAGCAGCCGCGGUAAUACAGAGGGUGCGAGCGUUAAUCGGAGUUACUGGGCGUAAAGGGCGCGUAGGCGGUUGGAUGAGUGUGAUGUGAAAGCCCCGGGCUUAACCUGGGAAGUGCAUCGCAAACGAUCUAACUGGAGUAGAUGAGAGGGUGGCGGAAUUUCCGGUGUAGCGGUGAAAUGCGUAGAGAUCGGAAGGAACGUCAAUGGCGAAGGCAGCCACCUGGCAUCAUACUGACGCUGAGGCGCGAAAGCGUGGGGAGCGAACAGGAUUAGAUACCCGCGUAGUCC